AGCGAACGCUGGCGGCAGGCCUAACACAUGCAAGUCGAACGAACCUUUCGGGGUUAGUGGCGGACGGGUGAGUAACACGUGGGAACGUGCCUUUAGGUUCGGAAUAACUCAGGGAAACUUGUGCUAAUACCGAAUGUGCCCUUCGGGGGAAAGAUUAAUCGCCUUUAGAGCGGCCCGCGUCUGAUUAGCUAGUUGGUUGAGGUAAUGGCUCACCAAGGCGACGAUCAGUAGCUGGUCUGAGAGGAUGAUCAGCCACAUUGGGACUGAGACACGGCCCAAACUCCUACGGGAGGCAGCAGUGGGGAAUCUUGCGCAAUGGGCGAAAGCCUGACGCAGCCAUGCCGCGUGAAUGAUGAAGGUUUUAGGAUUGUAAAAUUCUUUCACCGGGGACGAUAAUGACGGUACCCGGAGAAGAAGCCCCGGCUAACUUCGUG
Molecule: ribosomal RNA, 434 nt
Filed under: uncultured bacterium
Lineage: Bacteria
Description: partial 16S ribosomal RNA
Rfam family: Bacterial small subunit ribosomal RNA
Source: RNAcentral